AUACGUAGGGUGCAAGCGUUAAUCGGAAUUACUGGGCGUAAAGCGUGCGCAGGCGGUUUUGUAAGACAGUGGUGAAAUCCCCGGGCUCAACCUGGGAACUGCCAUUGUGACUGCAAGGCUGGAGUGCGGCCGAGGGGGAUGGAAUUCCGCGUGUAGCAGUGAAAUGCGUUGAUAUGCGGAGGAACACCGAUGGCCAAGGCAAUCCCCCGGGCCUGCACUGACGCUCAUUGACGCAAGCGUGGGGAGCAAACAGGAUUAGAUACCCUGGUAGUCCACGCCCUAAACGAUGUCCACUUGUUGUUGGGGAUUUAUUUUCUCAGUAACGAAGCUAACGCGUGAAGUUGACCGCCUGGGGAGUACGGCCGCAAGGUUAAAACUCAAAUGAAUUGACGGGG
This 395-nucleotide ribosomal RNA is filed under the name uncultured bacterium. RNAcentral's name for it is "partial 16S ribosomal RNA". It matches the Rfam family "Bacterial small subunit ribosomal RNA", at positions 523 to 918 of the family's 1533-position model. The record is from RNAcentral.